GGUGAAAGAUAGUCUGUGCGUCUCUAUCAGCUAGUUAGGUGAGGUAACGGGUCCCCCACGGCGACGAUGGGUAUGAGUUCUAAGAGGGAGAUACCGUACAUGAGUUAUGGACCAGAGUCCAGACUCGAGGCAGCAGUGACAAAUAUUGGUCAAUGGUAGGAAGACUGAUCCAGCCAUGCCGCGUGCAGGAAGACGGCCUUAUGGGUUGUAAACUGCUUUUGCAGGGGAAGAAUAAGGACUACGUGUAGUUUGAUGACGGUACUCUGCGAAUAAGCAUCGGCUAACUCCGUGCCAGCAGCCGCGGUAAUACGGAGGAUGCGAGCGUUAUCCGGAAUCAUUGGGUUUAAAGGGUCCGUAGGCGGGCUAAUAAGUCAGAGGUGAAAGCGCUCAGCUCAACUGAGCAACUGCCUUUGAAACUGUUAGUCUUGAAUGGUUGUGAAGUAGUUGGAAUGUGUAGUGUAGCGGUGAAAUGCUUAGAUAUUACACAGAACACCGAUAGCGAAGGCAUAUUACUAACAAUUAAUUGACGCUGAUGGACGAAAGCGUGGGGAGCGAACAGGAUU
RNAcentral lists this ribosomal RNA (563 nucleotides) under uncultured Capnocytophaga sp. RNAcentral describes it as "bacterial SSU rRNA". It matches the Rfam family "Bacterial small subunit ribosomal RNA", at positions 217 to 779 of the family's 1533-position model. The record is from RNAcentral. Lineage: Bacteria; Pseudomonadati; Bacteroidota; Flavobacteriia; Flavobacteriales; Flavobacteriaceae.